Long non-coding RNA from Lolium perenne, 1466 nucleotides. RefSeq lists it as uncharacterized. NCBI's taxonomy places the organism in Eukaryota, Viridiplantae, Streptophyta, Magnoliopsida, Poales, Poaceae. The record is from RefSeq and is a predicted model, not a curated record.
GGUGAGGAGGGGAUACGUUCCCUGGCCCGAUUUAACCUCAUGCAUGAUCGCUGGCUACGACAUGACCGGCUUGGCUCUCUCCUGGUUCUUCUACUUCCUCACCAAAAGCUCAUUUGUUGUGACCAAGAUCAUUUUCCUCUUUUAUGAGAGGUUGAUCUGUUUAUCUUGCAUGAUUACAUUGAAGCGGCACUAAAAAGAUCACCCUUAAAGCUAUUGCAUUUGUUUAGUUUUUUCAUGGGUCUAGGUUUAAUUUGGAUCUAGAGUAUUUAUAAUUAAAUAUAUACAUUGAUGCCUACUCCUUAGGUAAUAUAUCUGGAAGGUUUAAACAGGAAUAUUGCAAAUAAACUAUAUUACAUAGAUAAUUUCAAAGAACAAUUCUCUAGGUUUCAGUGCAUAAUUUCUUAUGCGAAUGAUUUUUUUUGCCUCAUAGAUGACGAUGGUGGGACUUGAUAUAUGCAUCGACAUAAUAAAAUAGGAAUCACUGUAGAAAGCACAAAUAAAAAUAGCUGAUGAAAUAGAUUGAUUUCCAGGAUAAGUGCACACAUAUUACCAAAUCCAGAUCAAAUCAAGAUACUUGAUCAAGUUAAGUGUUCUCUAGCUACAGAGCUGUAAUAUUAAUUAGUAGAUUAGUUGAGAAUAAUCUCUUUCAACUGUGUUCUCCGUUGUCUGUUUGAUCUAGCUUGAUGGUUGGUUUUGCAUAUGUACAUAUCUUAGAUUUGCAAGCAGCUUAGUAUUAUGGGAAGUAGUGAAUAUGUGAGUUGAUGGAUCGACAGGUGUUCAAAAUUUUGCUACAACAUCCAGGGUUAUCAAGAGGCUUGAGGCAACCUUCUGGCUGUAGCACACAGGACACUAGCAAUUGCUACAAGGAAGCCUUCCAGCUGCAGACUUAGCGGUCAGCUUGAAGAUAAAACCGUCCAACCACUUCAUGAUAUUGAUUACUUCGACUUUCAGUAUUGAGUUCUUUCUUGGUUGGGAUUGACACCCAGCAGCAGCAAGAAAGUUUCGAUGGGACAAUAUUCUCAAUAAGGGCGGUUGCGGAUUAUCUGAACAUGAAUCGGUGGCGACAGAAGACUUACAUUACCUUUUCGAUAUUGGCACUGUAGCUUCUUUCAAUUCCUUUGGGCAAAGCUUGCUCCAGUUCUAGACCGCCCCAUGCAAAGCAAACUCAUCAUCAUCAUUUUAUCUGCCAAUGAAUAUAACAAUGCCAACCACUGACAGUUUGAAGACGUGGGAACACUGAGACCACCCGCCUUAGCAUGCUAAAAAUUUGUAUUUGUGCCAAUUAGUUGAAAUAUACGGUUCAUGUGGUACUUCUUAGGCAAGUCUAUCUUAUCAGCUGUGCAAUGAGAAAGAAUGUAUGUAUGUAUGUAUGUUAGUGUCUCUAGCCAAUGCUCCCUACGAUGGAUCUAUCUUACCAACUAUGUACUAAACUAGGAGUAUAUAUAUUGGUAAAAAGUUCUAGAUUA